AUUGAACGCUGGCGGCCUUCCUUCCCCCUUCACUUCUCCCUUCAUCACGUGUGCUUUCCCCUUUUUUCUAUUGGCGAACGGGUGAGUAAUACAUCGGAACAUUUCCUGUAGUGGGGGAUAGCCCGGCUCACUCCGGAUUAAUACCUCAUCCUAUCUACGGAUGAAAUCUUGGUACCUUCGGGCCUCGCGCUAUAUGUUUGGCCGAUGGCUGAUUAGCUAGUUGGUGGGGUAAAGGCCUACCAAGGCGACGAUCCGUCUCUGGUCUGAGAGGACGACCAGCCACAAUGGGACUGAGAAACGGCCCAGACUCAUACGGGAGGCAGCAGUGGGGAAUUUUGGACAAUGGGCGAAAGCCUGAUCCAGCAAUGCCGCGUGUGUGAAGAAGGCCUUCGGGUUGUAAAGAAAGGGGGUAAGGAAAGAAAUCCUUGGACCUAAUACGGUAGGGGGAUGAAGGUACAGGAAGAAUAAGCAAAGGAGAAAUACGGG
RNAcentral lists this ribosomal RNA (486 nucleotides) under uncultured bacterium. Its description in RNAcentral is "partial 16S ribosomal RNA". It matches the Rfam family "Bacterial small subunit ribosomal RNA", at positions 30 to 507 of the family's 1533-position model. The record is from RNAcentral.